GGAUGAGUUCCCGAGUGGCUAAAGGGGGCAGACUGUAAAUCUGUUGCAUUCGCUUCGAUGGUUCGAAUCCAUCCUCAUCCACCA
Molecule: transfer RNA, 84 nt
Filed under: Clostridium vincentii
Lineage: Bacteria; Bacillati; Bacillota; Clostridia; Eubacteriales; Clostridiaceae
Description: tRNA-Tyr
Rfam family: tRNA
About the family: Transfer RNA (tRNA) molecules are approximately 80 nucleotides in length. Their secondary structure includes four short double-helical elements and three loops (D, anti-codon, and T loops).
Source: RNAcentral